GGGAAAGCACGUGACCUCUCUGGGCC
Molecule: non-coding RNA, 26 nt
Filed under: Homo sapiens (human)
Lineage: Eukaryota; Metazoa; Chordata; Mammalia; Primates; Hominidae
Source: RNAcentral